ACGUAGGUGGCAAGCGUUGUCCGGAUUUAUUGGGCGUAAAGCGAGCGCAGGCGGAAUGAUAAGUCUGAUGUGAAAGCCCACGGCUCAACCGUGGAACUGCAUCGGAAACUGUCAUUCUUGAGUGCAGAAGAGGAGAGUGGAACUCCAUGUGUAGCGGUGGAAUGCGUAGAUAUAUGGAAGAACACCAGUGGCGAAGGCGGCUCUCUGGUCUGCAACUGACGCUGAGGCUCGAAAGCAUGGGUAGCGAACAGGAUUAGAUACCCUGGUAGUCCAUGCCGUAAACGAUGAGCGCUAGGUGUUGGGGACUUUCCGGUCCUCAGUGCCGCAGCAAACGCAUUAAGCGCUCCGCCUGGGGAGUACGACCGCAAGGUUG
This 373-nucleotide ribosomal RNA is filed under the name uncultured bacterium. Its description in RNAcentral is "bacterial SSU rRNA". It matches the Rfam family "Bacterial small subunit ribosomal RNA", at positions 525 to 896 of the family's 1533-position model. The record is from RNAcentral.